AGCAGCCGCGGUAAUUCCAGCUCCAAUAGCGUAUAUUAAAGUUGUUGCAGUUAAAAAGCUCGUAGUUGAAUUUCGGGAUCAAUGCGUCGGUCGUGCCUUCGGUACGUACUAGCGUCAUUGAUUCCUCCCUUCUGAAGAACCGUGAUGUCAUUAAUUUGGUGUUACGGGGAAUCAGGACUGUUACCUUGAAAAAGUUAGAGUGUUUAAAGCAGGCUAACGCUUGAAUACAUUAGCAUGGAAUAAUGAAAUAGGACGUUCGAACCUAUUUUGUUGGUUUCUAGGAUCGACGUAAUGAUUAAUAGGGAUAGUUGGGGGCAUUAGUAUUCAAUUGUCAGAGGUGAAAUUCUUGGAUUUAUUGAAGACUGACUACUGCGAAAGCAUUUGCCAAGGAUGUUUUCAUUAAUCAAGAACGAAAGUUAGGGGAUCGAAGACGAUCAGAUACCGUCGUAGUCUUAACCAUAAACUAUGCCGACUAGGGAUCGGAUGAUGUUAAUUUUAUAAUGACUCAUUCGGCGCCUUA
This 520-nucleotide ribosomal RNA is filed under the name uncultured Glomus. RNAcentral's name for it is "SSU rRNA". It matches the Rfam family "Eukaryotic small subunit ribosomal RNA", at positions 569 to 1090 of the family's 1831-position model. Lineage: Eukaryota; Fungi; Glomeromycota; Glomeromycetes; Glomerales; Glomeraceae. The record is from RNAcentral.